UGAACCUUAUCGGUUUAUAGGAAGGAGAAGUCGUAACAAGGUUUCCGUAGGUGAACCUGCGGAAGGAUCAUUG
Molecule: ribosomal RNA, 73 nt
Filed under: Sarmentypnum exannulatum
Lineage: Eukaryota; Viridiplantae; Streptophyta; Bryopsida; Hypnales; Amblystegiaceae
Description: partial 18S ribosomal RNA
Rfam family: Eukaryotic small subunit ribosomal RNA
Source: RNAcentral